This is a long non-coding RNA of Bradysia coprophila, 338 nucleotides long. The record is from RefSeq and is a predicted model, not a curated record. NCBI's taxonomy places the organism in Eukaryota, Metazoa, Arthropoda, Insecta, Diptera, Sciaridae.
UCAGUGUGGAAAUUUUACUUUACAUAACAAUGGAAUUACAGAGGAUCAAUGUAUAUAUAUGGUGGCUUCGUGAUGGAAAAAAAAAAUUAAAUAAAUUGAAGUAAAAAAAGUGCAAGACAUGAAAAAACAAUCCGUCUAGUUAGUCUGGGUAGGAGUGGUCUUAUAAUUGACAAAAAUAACAUCUAUACCAAAACAAAGAACAUGCAGACAGAAAAACAUUUAAAUAAAAAUGCGACGCAAUUGGCGUUUUUUUUUAUUUGAUAAAUUUUUAUGUCCAUAAUUUCAAUUGGAAAAGAUUGAUUCAACGACCAAGGAAAUAAAAUAUUUGGAGUUGUCAA